This is a long non-coding RNA of Pristis pectinata (smalltooth sawfish), 463 nucleotides long. RefSeq lists it as uncharacterized. The record is from RefSeq and is a predicted model, not a curated record. The transcript is spliced from 3 exons. Lineage: Eukaryota; Metazoa; Chordata; Chondrichthyes; Rhinopristiformes; Pristidae.
UAAUCACUUCCCUGGAAGGGCAGGCAUAACGUACCUGAUACAAAUGGGAUAACUGGUUUAUAGACUGUCUUCUACCAAAUGAUUUAUCAGUCUUGCUCCUCUCCUGAUGGUGUGGGGCUCAAAGGUCCUUUGAAAUCAAAUGUUUGGUCUGAAGAAACAUUCUAUGAUGAUAUCCUGACUGGUUGUGUCAUGGCCUGUUGUGGCAAUUCCAACGCACAGGAACGCAAGAGGCUGCAGAGUUGUGGACACAGCCCUCCCCACCACUGACAGCACCUACAGGAGGCGCUGCCUCAAGAAGGCGGCAUCUAUCAUCAAGCAUCCCCACCAUCCGGGCAAUGCCCUCUUCUCACUGCUACUAUCGGGCAGGAGGUACAGAAGCCUGAAGUCACACACCACCAGGUUCAAGAACAGCUACUUCCCUUCAAUCAUCAGGUUCCUAAACCGACCUGAUGAAGUUGCAACA